Molecule: long non-coding RNA, 423 nt
Filed under: Pan troglodytes (chimpanzee)
Lineage: Eukaryota; Metazoa; Chordata; Mammalia; Primates; Hominidae
Description: lincRNA
Source: RNAcentral
GCAUAUGUGAAGGUGUGGCCUCAUGAAACCACAGCACACUGUAAGGAGCUACCAGCCUGCCACAAGUGGGUGUGAAGGUUGCCUAGAGGAGACUACCAGGAGAUAACACUGAAAGGGUGGAUUAGGAAAGCCCUUGUGCACCAUCUUGAACUUUACCUUGAAUGCAAUGGAGAGCUGUGAAAGGGCUUUAAGCAAGGCCCAGGCCUCACUGAAUCUGUGGUUUAGAAAGAACUCUCUGGUUACAAGAUGGAGCAUGGAUAGAAGCGAGGUUAGAAAAAAGUGAACAUCUGGACAAAAUCAGGACUCUUGACUGUAAGGAGGAAGGAAAGAAGUGGCCACUGGGUGGAGAACCAAGUGUAACUUCAUCCAACUGAAGUGUGCUAAACUUCUCUGAAAAAAGAUCAUAUAAAAUCUGGAUUUUCA